RNAcentral lists this long non-coding RNA (721 nucleotides) under Salvia miltiorrhiza (redroot sage). RNAcentral describes it as "long non-coding RNA (SMIL_LNC011184)". Lineage: Eukaryota; Viridiplantae; Streptophyta; Magnoliopsida; Lamiales; Lamiaceae. The record is from RNAcentral.
GCAGAGAGACAGGCGGAGAAGAUCUCAAGAGCAAGAACUGAAGAUUCACAUAUUUUCCCUACGAUUUAUUUGUUGAAUGUUUAUUUUAAUUCUUGAUGGUGUUGAGUAGAGGAGGAGGAAAAAACGCCAUCUUAGCUGCUUUCCUUGCUUGUUCAAUCUGUUUGACUGAGUUUGUUCAUCCCAAUUUCUCAUGAAGUAUUUCCAAGCAUCAAAGCAAUGCUUCUUCUGAUCGAGCUUAGUAGCUAGAAACCAUUUGGUGAAGAUUUCCUUCACUCUGAUCCACCAGUCGCUUAUCUCUCUUGGAACCCAAGUGUCAGGGUUCUUCAGUUGGUUCCCAUGAAUGUGGGAUAUCAAGAACCCUCAGUUCCGAUAAGCUUGAAGCUCUUGAAAUGGCUUCAGUGUGAAUGGAGAGGCAGGCGAGCCAAGUUCCAGUCGUCUCCUUGGCUGAGAAAAAUUAACACCAUCAUCACUCCUUGGCCUUUUCUUCAGUAGAUCUUGAACUUUUGAUUUGUAGGCUGAAGCAGUAGUAGCAGCUGCAGUUUUUCUUUACUGUAAUCAACUACCCAUCGGCCGUCAGCAAACUUCUCUACUGUUCCAUCAGUUGAUGCAUUACAUAUUGAUUAUAUGUUGACUGCAUUGCUAAUUCAUCAGCUCAUUGAUCAGCUGACCACACAAUUGACUACACACGCUGACUAACUCUACUGAUUCUUAGAUAAUUGAU